Molecule: long non-coding RNA, 1174 nt
Organism: Carassius auratus (goldfish)
Lineage: Eukaryota; Metazoa; Chordata; Actinopteri; Cypriniformes; Cyprinidae
Exons: 3
Source: RefSeq, a predicted model, not a curated record
GGGGAAGAGGGAGGGAAUGAAGUAGCAAGGGAGGGACGAAAGGAGGCAGUGGGAGGAGAACGCUUGGAGGAAAAAGGAGAAGAGAGAAACAGAUGCAAGUAACUCAGGCCGGCAAACUAGAUGCACACAGGAACCCGAAGAAGAUACAGGCUCUUUUUGUAGAUGACUGCAGAAUUCAGAGGGUGGUGAGCUCAAACCCAAAGGAAAGAUGUCAUGGCGGCCGACCUACCGGAGCUCCAAGUUUCGAAACGUCUAUGGCAAAGUGGCCAACCGUGAGCACUGCUUCGAGGGCAUCCCGAUCACGAAGAAUGUCCAUGACAAUCACUUCUGCGCGGUCAACUCCAAGUUCCUCGCCAUAGUAACGGAGAGCGCGGGAGGAGGAUCUUUCGUCGUUAUCCCGGUCACUCAGACAGAGCAAAAGCCUGACUGUUGAGCAGAGCGCAGAUACUUUUCCUUUGAUCUCUGGCUUUAAUGCUGUAAAAUGGAGAAGCACUGGAAGCUGUAAACUCCUGGUCACAGACACUGAUAUAACAGUAGUGUGAACUAAUCGAUGUGGACAUCAAUGUGCUCUGGUUGGAACAGCUUUAUAUGUCUGCUUCAUAAGAAAAGAUAGAAGACCGGGGUUCUGCAGAUUAAAGUGAUAGUUUAUCCAAAAAUGAUUAUUAUGUCAUGAUUUACUCACCCUCACACCCUCAUGUUUUGUUUCAAACCUCUAUGACUUUCUUUGUACUUUUCAAAAGAUAUUUUAAAGUCUGUUGGUAACCAAACAGUCACCAUUGACCUCUAUUGUAUGGCAAAAAAAUCAAAUCAAAACAUUGAGACAUUCCUCAAAAUGUCUUCUUUUAUGUUUAUACAGAAAAAAAUAAAUCCAUGAUAACCAUUUUUUCAGAAAGCUUUCCCUUUUUGUAACAAUGUUACUGACUUCUAAAGAUGCAAAAUGCAAAGUUAGUCAAUUUAAAUGUGACUCCAAAUUCCACCUCCACAGCAAUUGGCCAGACUGCACGGAAAGCACAGACAGAAAGAGAAUGACUCACACACCAUUUAUCAUUGACAUGACAAUGAGAUUUCGGCGCACAGCUUCUGAUGUCCCAUUCUUCUCUUCAGUCAUCUCCGCUCUUUAUUUUGUCUAUUCUUCUGUCCCUCCUCUUGAGCACAUCCGGUCAUGCUACACUGC